CCUACGGGUGGCUGCAGUGGGGAAUAUUGCACAAUGGGGGAAACCCUGAUGCAGCGACGCCGCGUGAAGGAUGAAGUAUUUCGGUAUGUAAACUUCUAUCAGCAGGGAAGAAAAUGACGGUACCUGACUAAGAAGCCCCGGCUAAAUACGUGCCAGCAGCCGCGGUAAUACGUAUGGGGCAAGCGUUAUCCGGAUUUACUGGGUGUAAAGGGAGCGUAGGCGGCCUGGCAAGCCUGAUGUGAAAUACCGGGGCCCAACCCCGGGGCUGCAUUGGGAACUGCCAGGCUGGAGUGCCGGAGAGGCAGGCGGAAUUCCUAGUGUAGCGGUGAAAUGCGUAGAUAUUAGGAGGAACACCAGUGGCGAAGGCGGCCUGCUGGACGGUGACUGACGCUGAGGCUCGAAAGCGUGGGGAGCAAACAGGAUUAGAUACCCCAGUAGUC
Molecule: ribosomal RNA, 440 nt
Filed under: uncultured bacterium
Lineage: Bacteria
Description: partial 16S ribosomal RNA
Rfam family: Bacterial small subunit ribosomal RNA
Source: RNAcentral